This is a long non-coding RNA of Chinchilla lanigera (long-tailed chinchilla), 3011 nucleotides long. Lineage: Eukaryota; Metazoa; Chordata; Mammalia; Rodentia; Chinchillidae. The record is from Ensembl.
AAGAUACCUACUAGCACUCGCUGGUCCCCAGGUUUAGGACAUGGACACAGUCAGAAAACACAAGGUGACACACGCUGUGGUUUGCUUCAGUGACAGUGAAUGUGGAUUCAGGGAAGGACAAGUAGGGAGAAGAGAGUUACCGUGCCUCUUAGCCAUUCACAUAAAAUGUCACCUGCUUGACUCCGAGCUUAUUCACGCCACUAGCCAUUGACCUGUUAGGACUGUAAAAUCGGGAUUUGUAAAGGUGGCCAUGCCUCUCACUGACUUUAUAACAAGAAGGGGUACAGAAGUUACAGGGUGAGUCCUUCUUUCUCGUCCCUGUGAGAUUUCGCAGGGUCAGCCUGGGGACACAUCAAGCCGUGUACUCUGGCCCUGUGUCCACCAUCCCCGUGAGCCAGGGCAGGUACAGCGGGCUCUCUGCGUGCAGACAGAAGCCGGAAUCGUGCACACUGCCCCUGGGGACCGGGACUGGGCGGAGGGAGGCCGCGCUCCCAGAGAGGAAGUGUUGUGCUUCUCAGGAAGCGCACACCAGUUGUAGGCUCCUCUAGGAAGAGCACGGCUAUUGGGCUCUUGCUGGCUAAGCAGAGCUGGCUGCUGAGGAUUCAGAGAUGUUCGGCCCACGGAAAGACACUGGCCAAAAGAAGAACUUAGACAAGAAAGAUGGGAGGCGAAUGUCUUUCCAGAAGCCUAAAGGGACUAUCGAGUACACUGUCGAAUCAAGAGAUUCUUUGAAUAGCAUAGCCCUGAAAUUUGAUACAACACCCAAUGAACUUGUUCAGUUAAAUAAGUUAUUCUCCCGAUCAGUCGUGACUGGACAGGUUUUGUAUGUUCCCGACCCUGAAUAUGUCUCCAGUGCUGAGAGUUCUCCAUCUCUGAGCCCCGUAAGCCCUCUGUCACCAGCGUCCUCCGAGGCUGAGUUUGAUAAGACCACUAAUCCUGAUGCAGCCCAUCCAAAAGAAGCAACUCCCGUGUCUGCUCUUACUGGUAUUCGACCAGCACGAGUUGUAUCUUCCACAUCUGAAGAAGAAGAAGCAUUUACUGAGAAAUUUCUUAAGAUUAAUUGCAAAUACAUUACCAGUAGCAAGGGCACAGUCAGUGGUGUGCUGCUGGUUACACCAAACAAUAUCAUGUUUGAUCCACAUAAAACUGACCCUUUGGUCCAAGAGAACGGCUGUGAGGAGUACGGCAUCAUGUGUCCAAUGGAGGAGGUGAUGUCCGCCGCCAUGUACAGAGACAUUCUGGACAGCAAAAUAAAGGAGUCUUUACCCAUAGAAAUAGACCUGUUAUCAGGAAGGGACUUCUGCCAUUCAAAGGAUGCAACAGGAAUGAAUACCGAGGAGGUAGACUCAAGAACUCGCGAUGCAGGUAACGACAGUGCCAGCACGGCUCCGAGGAGCACCGAGGAGUCUCUCUCUGAGGAUGUGUUCACGGAGGCAGAGCUCUCUCCCAUCCGAGAGGAGGGAGUCUCUUCGGAUAAGUCAUCUGGGGCGUCCUCAGAAUCCGUACAAACUGUCAGUCAGCCUGGGGUGGUAGGGUUGACAGCCCAGUCAGAGUCUAGUAGUCCUUCUCAUUUAAAAGCCAACACUGGACAUUCUGCCAAAGGAGCUGGGACUGCAUCUCAUGAAACGGAUUUAAGUCAUCUUGAAAUGGCUGCUCAGGAUGGAAAUCAGGGGACAGGUAACCUUCAGGAAGCAUUAGGCCCUACGGAGCCAAGCCCAAGUGUAAAAGGUCGUGCAGACCAGGAUCCUUCUCCUCAUGAGAGUGCCCUACAGCAAGAUGGAGGUGGGAAAGAAACCGUGCCUUGUGGAGAAACAGCAGAAUUUAAACAAAGGCAAACCAUUAACAAAGGCCAGGAAGGAAAGGAACAAAGUCAGGACUCAGAGGUUGAGGAGCUGCGCAAACUCUGGAAAACCCACACCAUGCAGCAAACUAAACAGCACAGGGAAAACAUUCAGCAGGUGUCGCAAAAAGAAAUUCAGCAUAAAAUUGCAUCUGCUGAUGGACAUGUAGAAGGUUCCGCACUUCUAAAGGAAAAGAGGAGGCAUCGAUUGCAUAAAUUCUUAUGUCUCAGAGUUGGGAAACCGAUGAGGAAGACGUUCGUGUCUCAGGCAAGUGCUACAAUGCAGCAGUAUGCACAGAGAGACAAGAAGCAUGAGUACUGGUUCGCCGUGCCGCAGGAAAGGACAGACCACCUGUAUGCCUUCUUCAUUCAGUGGAGCCCAGAAAUCUAUGCAGAAGACACUGGCGAAUGCACCAGAGAACCUGGGUUCAUAGUAGUAAAAAAGAUUGAGGAGUCUGAAGCAAAUGAGGAACCUACUAGUGAAGCAGCAGCCAGAGAAUGGGAGGUAGUGUCAGUGGCUGAGUAUCACCGCAGGAUCGAUGCUCUAAAUACCGAGGAGCUGCGCACUCUCUGCAGACGUCUCCAGAUCACCACCCGGGAAGACAUCAGUUCCAAGCAGGCUGCUCCCGUGAAAGCAGAGCUGGAGUCUGAAUCUUUUCGGCCCAACCUCAGUGACCCCAGCGAGCUCCUGCUGCCAGACCAGAUUGAGAAGCUCACCAAGCAUCUUCCACCAAGAACGAUUGGCUACCCGUGGACGCUGGUCUAUGGGACAGGCAAGCACGGCACCAGCCUGAAGACCCUGUACCGGACCAUGGCAGGUCUGGACACCCCGGUGCUGCUGGUGAUCAAGGAUAGCGACGGCCAGGUCUUUGGUGCAUUAGCAUCGGAGCCAUUCAAAGUGAGUGACGGCUUCUACGGGACCGGAGAGACCUUUGUGUUCACCUUCUGUCCAGAGUUUGAGGUCUUUAAGUGGACCGGAGAUAAUAUGUUUUUUAUCAAAGGAGACAUGGAUUCAUUAGCUUUUGGUGGUGGAGGAGGCGAGUUUGCUCUUUGGCUUGAUGGAGAUCUCUACCACGGAAGAAGCCAUUCUUGUAAAACAUUUGGGAAUCGUACACUUUCUAAAAAGGAAGAUUUCUUUAUCCAAGACAUUGAAAUCUGGGCUUUCGAAUAA